This 469-nucleotide ribosomal RNA is filed under the name uncultured bacterium. RNAcentral's name for it is "partial 16S ribosomal RNA". It matches the Rfam family "Bacterial small subunit ribosomal RNA", at positions 28 to 507 of the family's 1533-position model. The record is from RNAcentral.
GACGAACGCUGGCGGCGUGCUUAACACAUGCAAGUCGAACGGUGAAGCGAGUGCUUGCACUCGUGGAUCAGUGGCGAACGGGUGAGUAACACGUGAGUAACCUGCCCAUCACUCUGGGAUAAGCACUGGAAACGGUGUCUAAUACUGGAUACGACCAACCCUUGCAUGGGGUGUUGGUGGAAAGAUUUAUCGGUGAUGGAUGGACUCGCGGCCUAUCAGCUUGUUGGCGGGGUAAUGGCCCACCAAGGCGACGACGGGUAGCCGGCCUGAGAGGGUGACCGGCCACACUGGGACUGAGAGACGGACCAGACUCCUACGGGAGGCAGAAGUGGGGAAUAUUGCACAAUGGGCGAAAGCCUGAUGCAGCGACGCCGCGUGAGGGAUGACGGGCUUCGGGUUGUAAACCUAUUUCAGCAGGGAAGAAGCGAAAGUGACGGUACCUGCAGAAGAAGCACCGGCUAACUACGUG